UGGGCCUUUGUCUCGGGCUGGGGCCGGAGCCUGGGAUCCAUCCCUCCUCUUCCGCGUGUUGCCCCUCGGGAGCCCUCGGUGACUUUGUCACAGCCUCUGUUGCCGUGAGAUCUGCAGGUACUGGAAGAUGCAUAGCUAAGAUGCCAGGACAUCCUGGAAACUGGGAAAUGAUGAAGUCUCACUCUGUCACCCAGGCUGGAGUGGUGUGGCGCGAUCUUGGCUCACUGCAACCUCCACCUCCCAGGUUCAAGCAGGAGGACAUUGUCCAGUGCCUCCUGGGAAGAAGGACAUUGAGUAAUUUAAUGGGCAGCAUGGGGAUGGGAGAAUGUUUUGAGGGUUACCAUGGUCUGACUUGACAGUUAAGUCAGACAUGUUUGUGUUUCCAUCAGCACUGCCACUCCCUGAGUUUGUCACCUUGGAAAGACUUUUUCACUUAUUUCCACUUCAAUUUUUCAAUAACUGUGAAUUAUGUUUCAUCAGUAGAGCUGAAAUUUUUUUUAUAAAGUCAAAGACCAUGAAGGGUGAAUUUCAGAAAAAUCUAGUCAUAUGUUUUAUUUGUUAAAAAUGUUUCUUUAUCUUCAUCAGAGUGAUUUUAGUAAGUAAAUUUCUUUCUGUUCUUUUUGGGUGGUGAUUUCAAAUAGAAUUCCAAGGCAUUGCUUUGGGAAUGCUGCAAGGGAAAAGAAAUAGGAAAAAUUUCUUUUUCAUUAUGGCUAUAGAAAGUGAAUACAUUUCCACAAGAAAAUAUGAAAGAUUAAUUGAUGAAGUGCAUAUAUUUGUCAAAACAUCAGCUCCCCUUUUUUGCAGGGUCUAAAAUUUGUAACAGUGGAUAUCUCUGUUCUGUAUUCUGUUGUCUAAAUGCCCAAGUUUAAUGUUAAAUUUUAUGAGAUAGAACUUGGCACCUUCUGGAAAUGUUCACAUAUGGUUUAUUAAACUAUUUAUCAUGAAAGUAUGUAAGUGACAUGUUUAAUGUCUGAAAGAGAUAGAGACUUCAGCUUUUCCUGUUGAAGUAUAAAAUUUAAGUGCCUUACUAUUUCCUUACAAUAUUCUAUAAACACGGUGUUUGAGUGAUUUUGCUGUUUUCUUUAAACACUGGGCAUUAGUUUUAAACUAACGUUAGGCAGAAAAGGGCUUUCUUUCAUAAGGAGGAGCAAACUACUAGAAGGUCAGAAAAAAAAAUGUGGGACGAGGAGGACGGGAUAAAACAUGGUGAAAUCAGAUCCUAGAUCAGAGAAUGUUUUACCUAGACGUCAGCCUGUUCUUAAGAGGGACAUAAGGAGGGGUUUUAAGGUUGGGUCGAAGUUUGGGGUCUGGGGAAGGAAAGAAAAUUAAGAAAAGUUUGGUUCACAAGUAUUUUGUUCUGUCCACCAGAGACAAACUUAUUUGUUUAUGAGACAAAAAAAAAAAAUAAAUAAAAUAAAUGGGAAUUUAGAGAGUCUCUGGCUUUGGGAUAUCAAAAACAGGAAGGGUGUUUCUUAGCCAUAAGAUGCUCUUGAAAAACACAAAUGAUGGGGGAUUUCUUUAAUCACAGCUGUUAUCUACCCACCCCAUCUUCUCCUACCACUUUUCCUUGCCUUGUACUUUUUUUUCAUUUGGCUCUUCUUGAUUUGUACCUUUUAUAAUAAACUGGUAAAUGCAA
RNAcentral lists this long non-coding RNA (1636 nucleotides) under Macaca fascicularis (crab-eating macaque). Its description in RNAcentral is "lncRNA (ENSMFAG00000058855.1)". The record is from RNAcentral. Lineage: Eukaryota; Metazoa; Chordata; Mammalia; Primates; Cercopithecidae.